UGCGUAUGAGCGAUAUUCUUCAUCUGGACUUUCUUUGGGAUAUCAUCGAUCUCUUUAUCAUUCAAUGUGGUAUUUAUUUUACGGAAAUUUAGUAUAUCUUCACAUCUGGGAUUUCAUUAUCUCAGUUUUUUUAUUAUUCUUAUAGUCUAAUCUUAUCUGGCAAACAUGGUUCAUCUGUAAAAGGUAUUCAUUGACUGGAGGUAAUUACAUCUAUUAUAAUUAUAAUUUCUG
RNAcentral lists this long non-coding RNA (231 nucleotides) under Gossypium barbadense (sea-island cotton). RNAcentral's name for it is "long non-coding RNA (GBAR_LNC021508)". Lineage: Eukaryota; Viridiplantae; Streptophyta; Magnoliopsida; Malvales; Malvaceae. The record is from RNAcentral.